This is an RNA transcript of Juglans microcarpa x Juglans regia, 1091 nucleotides long. It is a transcript of the gene named ubiquitin-conjugating enzyme E2 7, with no coding region annotated. NCBI's taxonomy places the organism in Eukaryota, Viridiplantae, Streptophyta, Magnoliopsida, Fagales, Juglandaceae. The record is from RefSeq and is a predicted model, not a curated record. The transcript has 7 exons.
CAACUGUACAACUCUCUCUUUCUCUGUGUCUUUUUGCCUCCCGCAUACACAGAGCCUGAUCAGGCUCCUCCCCCAUCCUCUCUCUCUCUCUCUCUGAAGCCUUCUCUCUCUCAUGGCUUCCCAAGCAAGCCUCCUCCUUCAAAAGCAGCUCAAAGAUCUUUGCAAGAAUCCUGUAGAUGGGUUCUCCGCCGGCCUGGUCGAUGAAACCAAUAUCUUUGAAUGGAGUGUAACCAUUAUUGGACCUCCAGAUACUCUUUAUGAGGGCGGUUUUUUCAAUGCCAUUAUGACGUUUCCAUCCAACUACCCAAACAGCCCUCCGACAGUGAAGUUUACUUCAGAGAUAUGGCACCCUAAUGUAUAUCCUGAUGGCCGUGUUUGCAUAUCAAUCCUACAUCCUCCUGGUGAGGACCCGAAUGGCUAUGAGCUUGCAAGUGAACGCUGGACACCGGUUCAUACGGUUGAAAGUAUAGUUUUAAGUAUAAUAUCAAUGCUUUCCAGUCCUAAUGAUGAAUCUCCCGCAAAUGUGGAAGCUGCUGUGGUAGAACUCAUCAAAGAAUACUGUGCUUGUGUGAGGAUCUUGGGACAGUGGACAUGUUGCAGAUUACUCCGUUGACAAUGAUGAGUAAAAUGCAAUAUGUGACUUUGUUCUCGGACACCCGGUGCCAACAAAAAAAUGUAAUAUGUCAUAUAAUCAGGGAUCUACAUGAGUCCAAGGCAACUGAGUGAAAUUUGCUGAUGAUACUUGGAGAAGUACUCUUUUAUGAUGAAUGUUUGAGAGAAUGGAGGAAAAUGUCUCAACAGAUUUCUUCUCACUAAAAAAAGGUCCAUGUAAUCUGGUGGCAGAACAUCAAGGAACAUUAUACUUCCGUGCAAAAUCCAGAAACGUGGUGCCCGCCACCGUGUGAAAGAAUGGAGAGAUAGGAGAGAUGAUUUCAAGAAAAAGGUCAGCCGAUGUGUAAGAAAAUCACAAGAAAUGUUAUGAUCCAUUGUGCUAUGCUCUUUUGUGCUAGUGAAUGCCAGAGAGAGGUUUUAAGUUCUUGUGCUGGGGGGGACUGGUUCACUGGGCAAUAUGUUGGUUCUUUUAGCAUGCU